GACGAACGCUGGCGGCGUGCUUAACACAUGCAAGUCGAACGGGAGUAUUGAAGAAGCUUGCUUUAGAGAUACUUUAGUGGCGGACGGGUGAGUAACGCGUGAGGAGCUGUCCGAUGCAGGGGGACAACAGUUGGAAACGACUGCUAAUACCCCAUAAGCCGAGAGGUAAAAGGAUUUAUCCGGCAUGGGAGGUACUCGCGUCCUAUCAGCUAGUAGGUGAGGUAACGGCUCACCUAGGCGAAGACGGGUAGCCGGCCUGAGAGGGCGAACGGCCACACUGGAACUGAGAUACGGUCCAGACUCCUACGGGAGGCAGCAGUGGGAUAUUGGCAAUGGGGGAACCCUGACCCAGCGACGCCGCGUGGGUGAAGAAAUCCUUCGGGAUGUAAAGCCCUGUUGUAUGGGAAGAGCGGAAGACGGUACCAUACGAGGAAGCCCCGGCAAACUACGUG
This 452-nucleotide ribosomal RNA is filed under the name uncultured bacterium. Its description in RNAcentral is "bacterial SSU rRNA". It matches the Rfam family "Bacterial small subunit ribosomal RNA", at positions 28 to 507 of the family's 1533-position model. The record is from RNAcentral.